RNAcentral lists this ribosomal RNA (303 nucleotides) under uncultured bacterium. RNAcentral describes it as "partial 16S ribosomal RNA". It matches the Rfam family "Bacterial small subunit ribosomal RNA", at positions 507 to 807 of the family's 1533-position model. The record is from RNAcentral.
AGCAGUAGCCGCGGGAAUACGAAGGGUGCAAGCGUUAAUCGGAAUCACUGGGCGUAAAGCGUGCGUAGGCGGUUUGUUAAGUCUGCUGUGAAACCCCCGGGCUCAACCUGGGAAUGGCAGUGGAUACUGGCAAGCUAGAGUGUGUCAGAGGAUGGUGGAAUUCCCGGUGUAGCGGUGAAAUGCGUAGAGAUCUGGAGGAAUACCGAUGGCGAAGGCAGCCAUCUGGCCUAAUACUGACGCUGAGGUACGAAAGCAUGGGGAGCAAACAGGAUUAGAUACCCGCGUAGUCCCUGUCUCUUAUAC